GCCAGACUCCUACGGGAGGCAGCAGUGGGGGAUAUUGCACAAUGGGGGGAACCCUGAUGCAGCGACGCCGCGUGGGUGAAGGAGCGUUUCGGCGCGUAAAGCCCUAUCGGCAGGGAAGAAGGAGGACGGUACCUGACUAAGAAGCCCCGGCUAAAUACGUGCCAGCAGCCGCGGUAAUACGUAUGGGGCAAGCGUUAUCCGGAUUUACUGGGUGUAAAGGGAGCGUAGGCGGCCUGGCAAGCCUGAUGUGAAAUACCGGGGCCCAACCCCGGGGCUGCAUUGGGAACUGCCAGGCUGGAGUGCCGGAGAGGCAGGCGGAAUUCCUAGUGUAGCGGUGAAAUGCGUAGAUAUUAGGAGGAACACCAGUGGCGAAGGCGGCCUGCUGGACGGUGACUGACGCUGAGGCUCGAAAGCGUGGGGAGCAAACAGGAUUAGAUACCCGUGUAAGA
RNAcentral lists this ribosomal RNA (449 nucleotides) under uncultured bacterium. RNAcentral's name for it is "bacterial SSU rRNA". It matches the Rfam family "Bacterial small subunit ribosomal RNA", at positions 330 to 794 of the family's 1533-position model. The record is from RNAcentral.